RNA transcript from Chrysemys picta bellii (western painted turtle), 10265 nucleotides. It is a transcript of the gene named folliculin interacting protein 2, with no coding region annotated. The record is from RefSeq and is a predicted model, not a curated record. NCBI's taxonomy places the organism in Eukaryota, Metazoa, Chordata, Testudines, Emydidae.
UGUAAAAGUGAAACAUUAUCUCCCUCAUAUUCACCAGAUUUUACUUAUCAAUUAUAUUCUGUAAGCAGUUUUCCCUUCCACUGUGUAAAAGCUUUUUUUUGAAGCAGUAUCAGGUUCUUAGCUGAACAUAAAGUGUUUACUCUACAGAGUAAAACCAUUACUGUGCAAAAAUUCUGGGGUGUUUGCUGGUGUUAAUCAUUCCUUACUGAUAACUGUAGGGUAUUGGUGACAGAUUUUUAUUUGCAUUUGAAGUAUGGUGCUGAGCCAUAGGUGGUUGCUAAGAGUUGUCAGAUGACACUUGCUCACAUGAGAGCCAUUAAGAGGGUGUUGUAGCCAGUGUUAGAACAACCUUGCAGCUAAGGGCGAGUCAGUGCAAAAGCACCUAUGCUCUUUCUUUCAGAGGCCAUAUGGUUUGGUCUUGUGACCAAAUAAAUAAUUGCCAGCUACAUAAUCACAUACCAGGAAACAAAGGUAGUUAAAAUCAAUAUCUGCUGACUGCUUACUGGUCUUGGUGGAAAAACUCCAGCAACAGAAGCAGGAGAUAAUCUUGGAUGGGCUUUGAAAUUUGAAAGUUCUGUGUGGUGGUCUAAUUUGGGAUAAAUACUACAUUACAUUGGAUGCAAUUGUCUUCCUGAAUUAUGGUUGGCAGAACAUGCUACUCUUGUUGUAAAAAAGAAACCCAGUGGAUUGCUACAAAAGACUUGGUUGAAUUUCUUCUCGGAGAGGAAAUGUCCAUGGUUGCUGGAUGCUGAGCCAUAGUGAAGCAACUCACUAAUAGCCAUAUCUCUUAAGCCAGUGUUCAGUAUUUUCAAGAAGCUUUGGGAGAGUACAUCUGAACUAAGAAGAUGUGUGGAGGUACUCCAAAGACUGCACACAGCACAGGAGAGCAAACAGACCAAGCAAGAAACAGUAAUAAUGCCUCUUGCCCACUUGGAAAUAAUAUCUCAAACACAGGAUUAGCUAAAAAGGCUAAAAAAUCUUUUGUGGCAGAACAGAACACCGACCAUAAAAGCAGUGUCAAUACAUUGUUGCAAAACAGCUGGUCCUGUUCGGAGUUUGACUUGAAUGAAAUCCGCCUGAUAGUUUACCAGGAUUGUGAGAGAAGAGGCAGACAGGUCUUGUUUGAUUCCAAAGCAGUGCGCAAAGUUGAUGAGGCAGCAGCUCAGAAAAUAGUAGAGGAUGCUCCAGGAAAGGCUUCUGCCAAGUGCUGCCAAGCAAGCAAUGGGACCAAUAGUAUUUCUUCCCAUAGUCCAUCAGUGGGCUGUACACAGCAUGUCAAGGAACAGCUUCCAAAGUACCAGUACACUAGACCAGCCUCUGAUGUCAACAUGCUUGGAGAAAUGAUGUUUGGCUCAGUGGCAAUGAGUUACAAAGGUUCUACCUUGAAAAUCCACUACAUACGCUCUCCUCCGCAGCUUAUGAUAAGUAAAGUUUUCUCAGCCAGAGUGGGAAGCUUCAGUGAAAGCACAAAUAACUUGCAAGAUAGCUUUGAAUACAUCAACCAAGAUCCCAGUCUGGGAAAAUUAAGCUCUAAUCAAAAUGGUUUGGGGACCUGCCGUAGUGGAAGUAAUCUAGGUGUGUUACAGCUGUGUAGCAGCAAAGUGCUGCAGGGUGUGUCUGAAGGAGUUCCCCUCCGGCUCAUCCGGAGUGCUUCUUUCUUUGCAGCACAUAGCACCCCCGUUGAUAUGCCUAGCAGAGGGCAAAAUGAGGACAGAGACAGCGGCAUUGCUCGGUCAGCAUCUCUGAGUAGUCUCUUGAUUACACCAUUCCCAUCACCAAGCUCCUCAUCCUCCUCUUCCAGUAGCUACCAGCGCCGCUGGCUCCGAAGUCAAACAACAAGUUUAGAAAAUGGAAUUAUUCCAAGGUGGUCCACCGAAGAGACUUUUAGCAUGGCUGAUGAAAGCUGCAGUUCCAAUCCUGCAGUGAUUCGGAGGAAAAAAAUUGCCAUCAGUGUAAUUUUCUCCCUGCCUGAAAGAGAAGACGCACAGAGGCACUUCCAGGACUUCUUUUUCUCUCACUUCCCUCUAUUUGAAUCCCAUAUGAACAAGUUAAAGAGUGCAAUUGAAAAGGCCAUGAUCCUCUGUAGAAAAAUAGCAGAAUCCAGCCUAAGAGUACAGGUUUAUAUCAGCCGUGUCAUGGAUGCCCUGGGAGAAUUCAGACUUACAAUCUGGAACCUGUAUUCCGUUCCAAGGAUCGCAGAACCUGUGUGGCUUACCAUGAUGUCCAGCACUUUGGAAAAGAACCAGUUAUGCCAGCGCUUUCUUAAGGAAUUUACACUUCUGAUAGAACAGAUCAACAAAAACCAGUUCUUAGCUGCUUUAUUGACUGCGGUGCUGACCUAUCACCUGGCGUGGGUCCCAACUGUAAUGCCAGUUGACCAUCCUCCCAUAAAGGCCUUCUCUGAGAAAGGCACAUUACAAUCUGUAAACCUGCUGGCAAAAUCGCAUCCUUAUAACUCUCUCUGGGCACAGCUCGGUGAUCUGUAUGGUGCCAUAGGCUCUCCUGUUAGGCUGACACGGACUGUGAUUGUUGGAAAACAUAAAGAAUUAGUUCAACGUAUUCUCUACGUUCUAACAUACUUCCUACGGUGCUCUGAGCUACAGGAAAAUCAACUGACCUGGAAUGGGAAAGUUGGAGAGGAAGAGCAACUGCUAAAUGGAAGGAAGAUCACAACUACAUUGGAAAAGGGAGAGGUUGAAGAAUCUGAUUAUGUGGUUGUCACUGUUAAGAAUGAACCUGCUCUUGUGCCGCCAAUCCUACCUCAGAAGAAUGGUGGAAAUCAAACCAGUAGCAAGGUGGGGCAUGUCAGUAACCCAGAGAGCUCUCCUGCUCUGCCAAUACCCUCAAAAGAAAAGAAUGAAGAAGUAACAGGAAAGGGUGAUCAGAGCUCCUGGGCAUCCUGUAUUGCAUCAAAAGACUGCACAGUUGGCAGUUCUGAGUCUAAAGGAAUGGUAGAUGACAGUAGGAAAGGGAAGGUAGCUGAUAUAGGAACUGUGUCCUAUCAUUUUGAAGAACAAAUAGAAUCAGAGGAUUUAACGGAUGACUUAAAGAAUAGCAACCAGACCACGAGUGAAGUGGCAGAAAAGCCAUCUGGCAGAUCAUCUGUUCUACCGUGUCCUGAGAGGUUUGUUGAUAGGAGUCCUCAUUUAGAAAGGGUCACCUUCCAGAUUGGAAGUUCUACAUCGCCAGAGUCUGAUUUAGAAACUCGCAAGAGGGACAUGGAUGAAAAUUUUAGGGCGUUCAAAAAAAAUCUACAGGUAGCAAGCUGUACUUCAAGUCCACCAAAUGUGCCUGCAGAAACUUCCCAGAGCCAACAAAAAACUUCCAAAGCCUCCCUUAACCCAUUACACAUUAGGCGUAAUAUCUGUUAUGCACAAAUUCCGUCAUGUGAAGCGAGUGCAAGUAUAUUUGAUGAAUAUUUUGCUGAGGGUAAUAAAAUUGAAAUGAAUGUAGCAAAUACUUCUACUCGGUGUGGCUUGUCAGAUGAAUCACUUAAGCCAUCUGAUAACAAAAUAGAAACUGUAAAAACUGAAAUCUUAAAGGAAGCUAGAAUCCUGUGCUCCAAGAAUGGGGAGGGCCAUUCACUUGACUCUGUUAAAACAAGUUCUGACGUACAGGACUCUGGCCAAGUAGUCACUGAAGAUGUCCCCUAUGGGGAUGCUGGAAGAAAAAUCUCCUUCCGAAUUGAAGGGGAUAUUCCUAGGAAUGAGAGUUCAGAUAGUGCACUUGGAGACAGCGACGACGAUGGUGCUUCAUGUAUCUCUGAUCUACACCCUCGAGGCCAUGUCAGCAAUAGGCAUGAAGAAUUUACAGAAGUAGAACUUCCUUUACCAAGAUCCAACAUAAUCAGCAGUCCAAGUGUGAAAAACUUUGGAAGGUCACUUCUCGGUGGUUACUGUCCCACAUACAUGCCUGAUCUGGUACUGCAUGGAAUAAGUAAUGAUGAAAAACUCAAGCAGUGGUUACCAGCAGAUCUGCUUCAUGCAGUGCAUCAUCCAGUACUAGAUGAGCCCAUAGCAGAAGCUGUCUGUAUUAUUGCCGAUACGGAUAAAUGGAAUGUACAGGUGGCUACAAGCCAGAGAAGGAUGAUGGACAGUAUGAAGCUAGGCAAAGAUGUCUUAGUCUCCAGUCAAGUGUCCAAUUUGCUGCAGUCCAUUUUACAGCUUUACAAACUCCACCUCCCAGCUGACUUUUGCAUAAUGCAUCUUGAGGAUAGGCUACAGGAGAUGUACCUCAAAAGCAAAAUGCUUUCGGAAUACCUGCGAGGACAUACAAGAGUUCAUGUAAAAGAGCUAGGAAUUGUAUUGGGAAGUCAGCAUCAAGAGAUGACUGAGGUUCCAGAGGUUUAUGACUUGAGGUGAAAAAAACACCUACAGAAGCUGAUAACCAGCCAAUGAGCAAAGGUCUGAGGUUUGCCGCCCCCACAGUAGAAGCUCUCAGUAGAGGACUGGACCGAGCUGAGGUUAUGCCCCAUUAUGGUAAUCACCACAGCUUGAACCCACAACCUUCAGAGCUACAGUAUAGAGUCUUACACUUCAACUAGAGGAGUUGCUGGUAGAAAAGGAAAAGUAUGCUGUUAACCUCUCUGUGAAUCAGCCCACAUGGGUGAAGACCAACACACGUGUUGCCAGUGCAUUACAUAGUUCUUAGAGGGACAGCAGUGGAACGCUGGGCACCAGGCCUGGUUGUUGUUUUUUUUUUUCAUGACUGUGGAAGCAGAUUGUGGUCUAGUGAUUACAGGCAACACAGCCAAAUGGAACAAUAGCCACGUUUGGGCCUUCUGCCUGGGACAUGUGGAUGUAAAUUAUGAAUCUUUCCCACUUGAGCUAAAGAAGCAGUUCUCUUAGCAUGGAAGUCCCAUCAGGGUCAUAAGCUUCUAUAUGUGCUCUAGCUGUAGAGGUGACACUUUAUAAAUGUGGAUUACAGAGGCACCUAAUCUAGCAUAUUUCUUUUAAAAGCCUUUAGCAAUGUGGAUGAUACUUGGCUCUUGUAUAUUAGAGUUUGAAAUAGUACCUAGAGCUCUAUCUGAAGUGACUGGAUGCAAGUUCUUAAUUAUCUGUGAUACUGAUGAGUGACAGUGACAUCCUGUCAAAAAGGGUUAAUGUGGCUUAGAUGGGGUUAAGUAACCUGGUAGGCCAUACCUGGGGGAGAGUUAGGCUUGAUAGGCAAGCACUGAUUGAGCAUGGAGCCCAGCUGAGAGGAGCAGCAGGGCUGGUAUAAGGCCAGGAAGUGAGGCAGAAGAAGGCUUCAGUGUGGAAGCCUGCAAUUCUUCUCUGGAGGUAUGAAACUCAGAGGCAGAAACCCAGGGUAAGAGUAGAAGCCGUGGGAUCCUGGCCCUGAAGGAAAGGUUUACCCAGAAGAUGGGUGGAUGGAGGCCUGAUGAAGGUGGAAUAGGGAUAUGGCAGCAAGGAUGAUGCAGACCUUUGUCGGAGAGCUGAGCCAUGAAGAAGGAGCACCCCGAGUGACUGAGAGGAAGCAUUGCAACUCCUGGACAGAAAGGGUGUCAGAUUGGGUGGAGCUAUUUCCCAGAGGUAGCCACAAGGAAGUGCCUCAGUGGUGAGUAGAGAUCCUGUUACAACCACACCCCAAAGUAUAAUAUGAAACCUUGGUCUCUGGGUUUGUACUUCAGUGUAUCUUCCAUUAGGCUACAACUAUAGUAUGAUAUGGCUGGUUCUUCUCUCUUUUUACAUCAUUGUAAGACUGCCUUCACUAGUAUUCAAAAUCACGUUAUUCCUAAGAGCUGCCAAUACUGAAAUAAAAUAGUGUAGUUCCUUUGGUUAAAAUGCUGCUUACAUACUAAGUGUGUUACACAGAAUUCUUGACAUUACAGUUAGUAAUAUUUACAACUAAGAAAUAUGUUCCCUAGAAAUAAUCUCGGGGAGGGGAGGGAAGAAAAAACCACCAUGGAUGGUGUAUGAUUCCACACUUAGAUAUAAUCUGCUCUGACACUCUCGGGUUUAUCUGGUGUUGGCUGGCAUUAGUGAUAUUUUUAAAAAAUCCAAACCCGCAUGCAUCCACUGCAUUUGAAAGGCAUAUUCAAUACAUAAUCACCCUAGCAAAAUGAAAAGUUUACUUUGCAAAAUGGAAGGCUUCACUGUCUGUAGUUUGACUGGUUAAUAAGCUCCCUAGGCUAGCAGACUGCAUCCAAGCUGUCCUAGUAUGUGAAAAAUGUUCCCAGUGCCACAGUGACAUCACAAGCACAAAGCUGAUAGCUGCUUAUGGGUUCCAGCUGGGCUUUUGAUUACUCAGAGGCAGUGCAGGCUAAGCAAAUCCUGUUUUUUUACUCUUCGGAAGAAGCCUCCAAAAACUACUUCAGUGCCAAGGUCUCCUGACUGAAAUCUCCCACUAGUCAGGGAAAUAUUGACCUACUCUGAAAUAUUUCAAAUACAGUACCUUUCUAUUGAUUUUCCUAAAUGCUGCUUUGUUUCCUAUAGUCAAGUUGAACAAGAUACCUUGUUGAGUCCUUACAGAUAUGCAGUCCACUACAAAUAUUGCCUGUUUAAAUAGAGUGGGUCUGUUGUGUUAAAAGUGGCUAAUACAUAAACAUCAGAUUUAAUGCUGAAGUGCUAUUUGAAAGGGAAAGGUGAGCCCUUACAGAAGGGGUUAACCACUACAGAUUAUGCUGAGUGGGGUUGAAAUAGGCAUUUCAGAAGUAUUCCACCGAAGGGCAUCAACAAUAAUUGUAAUGAUGAAGACAUCAAGAUGUGGACAUGCAUAAACUAAGUAACUGUGAUCUUAUUGGCUAUAAUCCUUGUCUUUCCUUUCCUUCAGAGUGUUCUUACUUUUACUCAUCUUGACAUGUCUAAAAUUAGAUUGUAAGCUCUUCAAGGCAGGGCACCUGUUUGUGUUCUGUAAAGCAUCCAGCAUACUUUUUGGAGGCUGCAGAUACAGCAAUAAGGGGGGGAUUUUGACAAUUGUUAUCAUAUUUUCUCUGAUUAAUACAAUUGUAUCAAAAGGAAGAAUUCUGUGUGGGGGUCCUUUAAUGUCACAAAUGUCUCUCAUUUGUAUAAGACACAGAUGCAGAAACUUACUCUUGGUGUAAUUCCACUGAAAUCCAUAGUUACACCAGAAUAAAUUUGUCUCAGAGAUUCCAAGCCAAGGAUAGUGCUGAUUGACAUAUGAAUCAUGGGGUUGUAUAUUUAACUGACAAAUCUCAAUAUACAGACCACAAAUUUAAUAUAUAUGAAGAGUUACAAUAUAUAGUUCUUGGAGCAAUUUCAGAAACUUUAGUCUGGCUAGAAACUGGAUUUGAACACAGAGCUGCAUGUUGGGAGUUCUAAAGCAGUGGUUCUCAGCCAGGGGUACAGAGGUUUUCUGUGGGUACAACACAUCUAGAUAACUACCUAGUUUUACAACAGGUUAUAUAAAAAGCACUAAUGAAGUCAGAACAAACUAAAAUGUCACACAGCCAAUGACUUGUUUAUACUGCUCUAUAUACUCUACACUGAAAUGUAAGCAGAGCUAUUCCACAUUAUAUUGUACUCGACUAACCACUGAGGCACAAUGUAGCCACACUGAAGUGCCUCAGUGGUGAGUCGAGUACAAUAUUUAUAUUCUAAUGCAUUUUAUAAUAUGGUAAAAUGAGAAAGUAAGCAAUUUUUCAGUGAUAGUGUGCUGUGAUACUUUUGUAAGCAGGUAGUUUUUAAGUGAGGUGAAACUUGGGGGUACACAGGACAAAUCAGACUCCUGAAAGGGAUACAGUAACCUGGAUAGGUUUAGAGCAGUGGCUCUCAGAGAACCGUAGCACAUCUGUCAGGAGAUGGAGCUUUGCUUUUGCCAUCUAACAUAGCUGUUCAAACAUGUACAUGCUUGCAGAUCCGCUAAAUCCAGAUCUUAAUAGUCUGUCUCUGGUCAAAUUAUUUCUCUUCCAAGACAGAAAUAAGGCUAGGUUUCAUGCUGUUGGUUGAACAGUGGAAAGGCCACUGAACAAGUUAUGCGCCUCCAUGAUGUUCUGUCAUGAGCCAAACCUGGCGCAUUACAUGAGGGAAGUCCUCUGAAGGACAGGUGUCUGACCAUGUCCUCCUGCCAUAGUGUUUUAGGUCUUCUGGGGGAUCUUUUCCAUCUUGGUUUCAUUGCGUCAAAGUUGAAGAUGAUUCUUGAAGGGAAAUUGGAAGGCAUCUGGAGGAGAUGACUGUAACACCUUACAGAGCCUUGAGCAACCGUUUGAGAGAAUAGGACCUGGUCAGUUUAGAAGACAGAGCUCUUCAUUCAACUUGAAUUCAUACCAUUGAAUGAUUUUGACAUAUGGAGAUGCUUCAUCUAAAUGAUAUCCAACUUCUUCUCAAUCUUGACGGAACGGCCAUGAUCACCAAAGCAUUGUAUAUCCUCAGCUUUAAGCCAUUCUUGAAGCCAAAUUUUUCCAUUCCCCAUCAUUACUUUGAGGGGGAUAAUAAUGGCAAAGUAUAUGGGGGGGAAAGGCAUGCACCAUUUCCAAGCUUAAAUAUUACCAUAUGCUUGUAAAUCAGGCAUGCAAAUGAGCUCACUUUCUAUGUGCAUUUACAUGUCUAAAAUUCUAAAAAUCAGGCUCUUGAUGUUGACUUCUUUUUUAUUGUACAUUAUGCACUCCGUAUAUCCACAAAAGGGGAAAAUAGUCUAGUCUCUGCUGUUCGUGUUCUCUCUCUCUCUCUCUCUCUCUUUUUGGCAGAUGAAUUUACAAAAUAGAGUGGCAUGUUCAGAUUGCAAUUUUAAUUUAAUGUUGAUGAAAAGCUGAGUAUCCAACUUUAACUUAACACAUUUUGUCACCCUUUCAACAGCAUUACCUUUGCCAAUACUUAUACAAUCCUUGUCCAUCUGGUUAUCCUUAUCCAAAAAAACAAAAACCUGUUUUCCUACUGAACCAAUCUGGAUGUGUCAUAUGCCAUUUGAAAACUCAUUAUUUGUAUAGAUGUCAGAAGCAGAGCUAUGGGCAUUAAUUUUACUUUAAAAUUUUGCCAUUUACAGCACUAACUCUUUCAAGAUUAGCCUUCAUUGUAGAUAGUACUAGGGAUUAGUACUUUCAACAUUGUAUAGACAAUCCCAGUGUUUAAAACUCUCUCACUCACUCACUCUCUAACACACACACACUCUCACUCACUCACACCCCCCACCCCCAGAUGGAUUAACAAUUCAUAUUUACAAAACAAUCUGCCUAUAAUGGGAACAUCUCAAGUUAGAAUUUUUAGACUUUGGACCAGGCACUGCCAUUUAUUAUGUGUUGUACACUGCCUAUCACAAUGGGGCCCAACCAGAUUGUGGCUUUGAGGUGCUACUGCAAUAUAAAUGUUUAAUUUACAUCCCAACACUAUGUUAAAAGAAAACUAAGGUUGCCAAGUCAAGCAUGCAAAAGUGAGGGGGAUGGAGAUACACCCUUUGCCAGUGGGUUUCACACUAUGCCAAAGGAAUGUUGAGACUUGGGAAUAAGAGGUUCACGUCCAGAUUCUGAAGGGAGUGUGUGUACUCUACUUAUUACAGACCCUUCUGCUCCUACCCCCACCCAGCCUCUUUCUGUCCCCUCCGCUGGUGCUAUGCUCCCUGGCUCCUACCCAUUUUUUUUCUCUCUCCCAAAUCUUGCCCUUGUCCCAUCCCUGCUCCUAUCCUUAUGGCUUCCCCCGCCCCCACCCCUCACAUUGUUCCUAUCCGUCCCUGUCUUAUGUCCACUUCUGUUCAUUCCCAGUCUCUCCACUCACUCCUAACUCCAUGCUUGCCAAGGGCUUAUCCACUUGCUUUUCCUCGAGCUCCUGCCCCUGGCUCCCUGCCUUGUGUCUCUUUCACGUCCUUGUUCUUCCCGUUCUGGAGCCCUCUCUGCAUUCUAGCCAGGAGGUGCAUUGAGCACACAGGAGAGUCUCCCUGCUAUGAAUUGCAGUACCCAGUAGCACCCAACAGAUAGGAGGAGCAAUUGCAGGGAAAGUUCACCUCAGUCCCUGCAGCCCUGGGCUGUAGUAUUGUGAGUUUUUCUGUGCCAAUGGCUCAUGAGCAGUCUGGUUGGCAUGUAGGAGCUGUGAGAGAUGGAGCACGCUCAGGGCGGAUGAAAUCGCCAGAUCAUUUAGUUGCCAAAUUGUAACAAGUUUCUAGUGAGCAUGUACAAAAUGAGAUUUUUUUUUUCCAGAAGGUUUAUAACUUGGUCAAAAUUUUUGAGGCAGAUUUUCACAGGAACAUCAAAAAGCACAUCCUGAAAACCAUCACUACCCCUUGCCAAAUUUCAAGUCCCUACUCCAAAGCAGGGUCCCUACUCCUCGCCCACAGACAACCUGCCAACCUUAAGCAUAUUCUCACCAGCAACCACGCAC